RNAcentral lists this ribosomal RNA (254 nucleotides) under uncultured bacterium. RNAcentral's name for it is "partial 16S ribosomal RNA". It matches the Rfam family "Bacterial small subunit ribosomal RNA", at positions 524 to 776 of the family's 1533-position model. The record is from RNAcentral.
UACGUAGGGGGCAAGCGUUGUCCGGAAUCAUUGGGCGUAAAGAGCGCGUAGGCGGUCCGGUAAGUCCGCUCUGAAAGUCCGGGGCUCAACCCCGGGAGGCGGGCGGAUACUGCUGUGGCUUGAGUCUGGUAGGGGAACACGGAAUUCCUGGUGUAGCGGUGGAAUGCGCAGAUAUCAGGAGGAACACCGGUGGCGAAGGCAGCUCGCUGGGACGGUACUGACGCUGAGGCGCGAAAGCGUGGGGAGCGAACAGG